GAGAGCCCCGUAAAGCCAUUGGAAUUAACAGCAGGCAUAUGUGAUAUGUUUUNUAAGAGACGGGUUGUUUGAGAAUGCAACCCAUAAGUGGGAGGUAAAUUCCUUCUAAAGCUAAAUAUAGGCAAGAGACCGAUAGCAGACAAGUCCGUAAGGGAAAGAUGAAAAGAACUUUGAAAAGAGAGUUAAACAGUAUGUGAAAUUGUCAAAAGGGAAAGGCAAUGGAAUCAGAUAAGGCCGUCUUGAGAUUCAGCGUGGCACUCUCUUUUCUCGAGAGAGAGAGAGAGGGUCGCGUGUAGUUCUUGGGGCAUUAUGGCAGGCUAGCGACAGUUUUCCUCGCGUCAAAGGCUCAGUGGAAGGUAGCGCCUCUCCUAGCUAGGGGGUGUGUUAAUAGCUGGCCUAUGGCUCUAAAGCGUGUGGGGAGCUGAGGACUGCAGGGCGCUUUUUUUUUUUUUAAAGAUUUGGAGCCUGGGAUGGCGGCGUAAGGUUUUUUGUAGACUUUUUUAAAGGCUGCAGAAGCACGAAACUCCUCUGUCUAGGAAUUCCUCUUCGCAAGAAGUAAUGCUACCCUAAGGUCGCUGGCGAAAUGGUUUCAUACCACCCGUCUUGAAAUCACGGACCAAGGUGUCUAACAUGCAUGCGUGUGAAGGGCGAUAGAAACCCACGCGCAGAAUUAAAUGAAUUCUGUUGGGUCCGCUGUCUUCAUGUGGUGCACCGCGGCCAGGUCAGGAUAUUCUUAAUAAUUGAAAGAUCUNNGCAANGUGCAUGUGCGUUNUGGUCCCNAAUNUGGUGANCNUGCCU
RNAcentral lists this ribosomal RNA (798 nucleotides) under Gonapodya polymorpha. Its description in RNAcentral is "eukaryotic LSU rRNA". It matches the Rfam family "Eukaryotic large subunit ribosomal RNA", at positions 214 to 838 of the family's 3401-position model. Lineage: Eukaryota; Fungi; Monoblepharomycota; Monoblepharidomycetes; Monoblepharidales; Gonapodyaceae. The record is from RNAcentral.